AUGAACGCUGGCGGCGUGUCUAAGGCAUGCAAGUCGAGUGGUCGCCUUUGGCGACCACGGCAAACGGGUGCGUAACACAUUGGUAACCUACCUCAAAGUUCGGCAUAACUCCGCGAAAGUGGAGAUAAUUCCGGAUGUGUUCCGGCAACGCAAGUUGCCUGAAUAAAGAUUUAUCGCUUUGAGAGGGGCCUAUGGCCUAUCAGCUAGUUGGUGAGGUAAUGGCUCACCAAGGCUACGACGGGUAGCGGGCGUGAGAGCGCGACCCGCCUCACUGGGACUGAGACACUGCCCAGACUCCUACGGGAGGCUGCAGUCAAGAAUAUUCCCCAAUGGACGAAAGUCUGAGGGAGCGACGCCGCGUGACCGAUGAAGCCCUUCGGGGUGUAAAAGUCUUUUAUUAGGGAUGAAUCAAUGACAGUACCUAAUGAAUAAGGGGCUGCUAACUUCGU
Molecule: ribosomal RNA, 449 nt
Filed under: uncultured bacterium
Lineage: Bacteria
Description: bacterial SSU rRNA
Rfam family: Bacterial small subunit ribosomal RNA
Source: RNAcentral